GGCUAAUCUCUCUUCUUUUACUUUGGAUUUCUUGUAAGACUUUUCCUUUUAAGUUAUAAUCUUAAGUUCUUUCCCACAUGUUCUUCUUCUUCCCUUGAAUCCCAUAUCCAUGCUUUAUGUUUCAAGUUAGAACAUGUGCUAGCUUUAUGCUUUUCUAUAAUAGAACGGAAGUUUGUUAUAGAUUAGGGAUUUGUUAUGGGAUUACCUCUUCUAUACUUGCUACUAGGAAUAGAGGAAGGGUUGGGGUUUGUUGGCCUGAAUUCUAUAAUCUUUAUGCUUCAAACAAAUGUUUAAGUACACAAGGAAUUGGGCUUAUCUUUUGGUUUGAAAGAAUUAUCUAUGCGAGGCAUCGAUAGGUAGUUGCUUAGGCUAUAACAUCAAGGAGAGAUUCAUGAGAACAUGUGCUUAGAAUGAUGUGCUUGAAUUGAUUAGUUGAGCAAGAACCCAAAGUAAAUCACUCUUUCUUUUCAUUUUCUGUUUCAUUUCUGA
This 489-nucleotide long non-coding RNA is filed under the name Lotus japonicus. RNAcentral describes it as "long non-coding RNA (LJAP_LNC001309)". Lineage: Eukaryota; Viridiplantae; Streptophyta; Magnoliopsida; Fabales; Fabaceae. The record is from RNAcentral.